GCUCUCCAUUCCUCACAAACAAUGGGAUCAACACUGAUGCUUUAGGCAGCACAGGCAGACCGGAGAACUUGUCUCCAAUGUCAAACUGCUUUAAAAUGGCUAUGGUCUCCUCUUUGCUAUGCAUGGUAGCUGCUAGCUGUUUUAAAGCAGAAACAGAAAGAGCUCGAGCUCUUCUAUGUAGUUCAUGUCAGAAGGCGAAACGAUAAGCUAACCUUACCACAAAGCUAACGCUAAUGUCAGUUUGAACACUAGCAGUGGCUGUGGUAACAAUUAUCACUCUCGCUGUUGCGGUCGAGGUAAGAUGAGUCAAAUGAUUGUAUUUCCUACAUUGUCAAUAUGGUAGCUAAAAGAGUUACCGCUCCGCUUCAUGAAGACAAGCCUCCAAAACAAACAUGUCGUCACUGUAUGCGACGCGCUUCCGCGUUCGCCACAAUUACGUCAUUAUGUGUCCUGAAAAUGUCAAGGCACUGUAGUCGCAACAGAUAUAGCCAUGUUACUCAGGAGUUUGACAGAAAUUAUACAUUUGAGUGACAUGUCAUAGAUGGGCAGGCAAAGGUUAUAAUGUAAAUGGACAACCAAUGGAAAAGGUAUUUUUCUAGAAUAUGGACAAGUUGUGUUGCUCUAUAAAAAAGUGCAUCAGGAAAACUACAGCAUGCAAGGUUUCAAUGGGAUUUGUAUUGCUGUAAACGGGUUCUCGGUGAAACAUCAGAUACGAAAUAAAACAUACAGUACAUUCCAAGUCAGUCAUUUUAUGGCAUAACGAGAAUAUGUGUUAUAUCAUAGGUAGGAACAAAAACGUGUAGAAAAGACUACUUAAAACUGACUGCCAGCUCACUGAAUAUGAAGCAGUAACAUUAGCCUGAGAUGUGUGAUUUGAACCACAUCAGCUAGAACAAAUUAAAGACAUAUUUCUCCCUUCAACGUUAAACCCACAGGUUUACAGGUAAAGUUAUACACUUAAGUGAAUAAAUAAAUAAAUUAAAA
Long non-coding RNA from Scatophagus argus, 984 nucleotides. RefSeq lists it as uncharacterized. The record is from RefSeq and is a predicted model, not a curated record. The transcript is spliced from 2 exons. NCBI's taxonomy places the organism in Eukaryota, Metazoa, Chordata, Actinopteri, Scatophagidae.